Molecule: transfer RNA, 78 nt
Filed under: Mannheimia varigena
Lineage: Bacteria; Pseudomonadati; Pseudomonadota; Gammaproteobacteria; Pasteurellales; Pasteurellaceae
Also listed under: 2 other names
Description: tRNA-Ile
Rfam family: tRNA
About the family: Transfer RNA (tRNA) molecules are approximately 80 nucleotides in length.
Source: RNAcentral
CCCCCAAUAGCUUACUGGUUGAAAGCUGUCGGCUCAUAACCGAUAGAUGGAUAGGUUCGAUUCCUACUUGGGGGACCA